Molecule: ribosomal RNA, 621 nt
Filed under: uncultured bacterium
Lineage: Bacteria
Description: bacterial SSU rRNA
Rfam family: Bacterial small subunit ribosomal RNA
Source: RNAcentral
AGUUUGAUCCUGGCUCAGGACGAACGCUGGCGGCGUGCCUAACACAUGCAAGUCGAGCGAGGUAUUUGCGACUGAUUCCUUCGGGAAGAAGCUGCAAAUCACCUAGCGGCGGACGGGUGAGUAACGCGUGAGGAACCUACCUCCUACAAAGGGAUAGCCUCGGGAAACUGGGAUUAAUACCUUAUGACACUUAAGAGUCGCAUGACUUUUAAGUUAAAGCGUUUUAGCGGUAGGAGAUGGCCUCGCGUCCCAUUAGCUAGUUGGUGAGGUAACGGCUCACCAAGGCGACGAUGGGUAGCCGGCCUGAGAGGGUGGACGGCCACACUGGAACUGAGACACGGUCCAGACUCCUACGGGAGGCAGCAGUGGGGAAUAUUGCACAAUGGGCGGAAGCCUGAUGCAGCGACGCCGCGUGAGUGACGAAGGCCUUCGGGUCGUAAAACUCUGUCCUAAGGGACGAUAAUGACGGUACCUUAGGAGGAAGCCCCGGCUAACUACGUGCCAGCAGCCGCGGUAAUACGUANGGGGCGAGCGUUGUCCGGANUNAUUGGGCGUAAAGGGUGCGUAGGCGGCCUUUUAGUCAGGUGUGAAUCCAUGGNUNNNNNUNUGUANCACUUGAAC